GAUGAACGCUGGCGGCGUGCUUAACACAUGCAAGUCGAACGGAAAGGCUCCUGCUUGCAGGGGUACUCGAGUGGCGAACGGGUGAGUAACACGUGGGUGAUCUGCCCUGCACUUCGGGAUAAGCCUGGGAAACUGGGUCUAAUACCGGAUAGGACGAUGGUUUGGAUGCCAUUGUGGAAAGUUUUUUCGGUGUGGGAUGAGCUCGCGGCCUAUCAGCUUGUUGGUGGGGUAAUGGCCUACCAAGGCGUCGACGGGUAGCCGGCCUGAGAGGGUGUACGGCCAACUUGGGACUGGGAUACGGCCCCGGCUCCUAAGGGAGGCAGCAGUGGGGAAUAUUGCCCAAUGGGGGGAAGCCUGAUGCAGCGGCGCCGGGUGGGGGAUGACGGCCUUUGGGUUGGAAACUCCUUUCGCUAGGGACGAAGCGCAAGUGACGGUACCUGGAGAAGAAGCACCGGCUAACUACGUG
RNAcentral lists this ribosomal RNA (466 nucleotides) under uncultured bacterium. RNAcentral describes it as "partial 16S ribosomal RNA". It matches the Rfam family "Bacterial small subunit ribosomal RNA", at positions 28 to 507 of the family's 1533-position model. The record is from RNAcentral.